Molecule: long non-coding RNA, 336 nt
Filed under: Nicotiana benthamiana
Lineage: Eukaryota; Viridiplantae; Streptophyta; Magnoliopsida; Solanales; Solanaceae
Description: long non-coding RNA (NBEN_LNC024711)
Source: RNAcentral
AUAUACUGGAGUUUGGAGCAGUGAUGCUCCGGUCUCCCGUAUAUUAUAAGGGAGUCAGCAAAGUAUACCGGUCAAGCAUAAUAUGCUGGAGUUCGUACACAUAUGCACUGAACUCCCGUAUUUAUUCGAGACCAGUCUCUAUUGCAGCAAAAUAGUAGUUAUUUCUAUUGACUUCGUAAACGGUGACUAUUUUUGAUUGACCAGAGUAAAAAUUCGCUAUAUUGUGUUAUUUUAAUCGAAAACUUAAUGCACCGAGCUACCAUUUUUACCCCAUAUCUAUUACUCGCUGAUCUAACAAAUCUGAAAUCGAUUUGAGGCCCAUUAAAAGGAGAAUUG